GAGAGGUGGCCGAGCGGUUUAAGGCGCUGGUCUUGAAAACCAGUGAUGCGGCAACGCACCGUGGGUUCGAAUCCCACCCUCUCC
RNAcentral lists this transfer RNA (84 nucleotides) under uncultured Mitsuokella sp. It matches the Rfam family "tRNA". Rfam says of the family: Transfer RNA (tRNA) molecules are approximately 80 nucleotides in length. Their secondary structure includes four short double-helical elements and three loops (D, anti-codon, and T loops). Further hydrogen bonds mediate the characteristic L-shaped molecular structure. tRNAs have two regions of fundamental functional importance: the anti-codon, which is responsible for specific mRNA codon recognition, and the 3' end, to which the tRNAs corresponding amino acid is attached (by aminoacyl-tRNA synthetases). tRNAs cope with the degeneracy of the genetic code in two manners: having more than one tRNA (with a specific anti-codon) for a particular amino acid; and 'wobble' base-pairing, i.e. permitting non-standard base-pairing at the 3rd anti-codon position. The record is from RNAcentral. Lineage: Bacteria; Bacillati; Bacillota; Negativicutes; Selenomonadales; Selenomonadaceae.